Long non-coding RNA from Lactuca sativa (garden lettuce), 1611 nucleotides. RefSeq lists it as uncharacterized. Lineage: Eukaryota; Viridiplantae; Streptophyta; Magnoliopsida; Asterales; Asteraceae. The record is from RefSeq and is a predicted model, not a curated record.
GGCGGAUUACCGAUGGAAAUAGACCUGGAAUACUUCCUUUUUCUAGUGGCUAAUCGUCUUAACUCACAUAUGCUUCUCAUGCUUGAUAUAAAUAGAUAGCAUUUCUCUUAUAAUGUAAACAAUACGAAUAAUCGAAAUCCAGUUGCUCUCUAAAUACAUUGGCUUUUAGUUUCUCAUUUUCCAAUUCAUUUACGGGUUUCAUUUAUACAAAAACUUUCUUGAACAUGAAAUAGGACCUGGUGUAAAGAAGUACACCUACUUUCUAUGUGCACUACACUUCUUACGCUUAUCCAGCCAUUGCACAGUGUAAUUAAGUAACAAUUACACACUUGAUUCUUUUCUAAUUUUUCACGAUGUCUUUAUAGAACAAGUGCGUAAAUAUAAAAUCAUAAAACUGCCGAGGAAAAUUAAUUAACCAUCCAUGUAAAACAUUAAAUGUUACUUGUUUGUAUUCCCAACUAGAUAUGCUUAAAAGUCUCAAUGACAGAUGAGUAUGUGCCGACAACUCCUAGUAGAAUAGCCAAUACUACUAAUCCCAUAAUAACAAAAAAAUCGAAACCAAAACUUCUGUACACUUGAAAGAUCUUCAGGUAACAAGCACAAGGGAGCAAGAAAGAAACAGAAACCACAAGGGCUGCUCCACUAAGAGAUGCUACAGACUCGAAUGAUGGUAAGUAGUUCUCGAUAGCAGAAGCAAUUGGCAUUAUCGUUAUAGCAUAUUUCGCAACCGGACCUGCCAAAAUUGUGUAUAUUGCUACCUUUGCACUAGCUUUCUCGGUUGGUAGGUUUAGCGUUACUUGUGAUUGUACAUCGUCGCCAUAAAUAAGGUAAAUGGCAGGGAACAUAGCAUGAGCUCCAUAGCAGAAAGUGUAUAGACUAACUGCUGUUGGUAGUCCUUCGAAAUUCACAAGGCUCCCCUUCCUAUGAAAUCCAACCCCAGAUGCACCAACACAAAAUACACAGAUGAGCACUAUAAGUGAGGAGAGCACCCCACCUAACGAAAGAUAUGAGAGAACACUCAGAUCACUUAGCCACAUAGAAGGCAAGAUGAUAAGCCCAGCUACAAUCACAAACGAGUGCCUUCCAUCCAUUUUCAAGCUUCCAAACUUGAAACCAAAAUGGGGAGAAAGUUUAUGUAAAUUGUCACCUUCUAGAAUCAGUAGACCAGUGGCAACAAGGUAGAGUUCUAAACAGGUGAAAACCAAGGCUAUAAUUCUUCCCUUUCGACCAAAAGCAAUCCCAGCUAUAUCAGGAUAGCUAGUGGCUAAAGGGUUUGAUUCCAUACAACGGCGGAUUAAAAGCCCUGUAAAGAAGGCAGCGAGAGAAAUCAAGAUCAGGACAACCAAGCUUAGCCAGCCACCUGAAGAGAGUGCAUAUGGGAUUGAGAGAAUGCCAAUACCUGAUGAUAAAAUAGUUAGUAUAUUAUGAUUGGUGUAUGCUAUUUCAUUUUAGCUUGAUUGCUAGGCAUUAUCAUUUUCAUUAAUCACAGGUUUUGAUUCUUCAUAUAACAUUUGCAUGUGUAUAUUUGGAACGUAGAAAAUCACUGUAUCAAAAAAAGUAUUCCACAUGAGGAACACGAAGGUCAGCAAUUAAAUGAUUCUUGUGACUUGU